GCACUUGAAGCUAUAUUUUGGUUUACCCUCAUUCACGACAUUGCGUUGUGUACGGGGUAUUCUGGAUAUGGUGGAUUUUGUACGAAGGUUGUGAGUAGGUCAACAAGGAAUCAGUCACUUCUAGUAAGAGAAGGUAACAUCCUACUUACUCUAAUCUUAUGAUGAUUCAAGAAGCCUUUGAUCAAAGCAAAAUAAAUAUUAGAAAGAGUUUUUAAUGUUUCAUUGUUUGAAUUAUCAUAUAAAAGAUUGAGAAAGACAUGAAUAAGUGAUUGAGUUUGAUAUUGAUCCAUACUCAUGCACUUAUUCAGGAUGUAGUAUGACUGAGGGAUUGAAUUGUACGGUAACUUGCCACUGAAGGGUAUGUUUGGAUUUGUCCAAUACAUUACUCAUCUUCCAGGUAGACAUGAUACGUUGCUAGACGUCAAUCAUGUCUUGUGGGUUGAUCGGAUCAAAGAGUUUGAUUAGAUCAAAGCAUCGAAAGGUUCUGAUUGCUAAGUCAGGUUUAGCACUAAAUUGAACCUAAAUUGAAUUAGAGGUAUUCU
RNAcentral lists this long non-coding RNA (542 nucleotides) under Phoenix dactylifera (date palm). Its description in RNAcentral is "long non-coding RNA (PDAC_LNC016447)". The record is from RNAcentral. Lineage: Eukaryota; Viridiplantae; Streptophyta; Magnoliopsida; Arecales; Arecaceae.